RNAcentral lists this ribosomal RNA (2307 nucleotides) under Escherichia coli. RNAcentral describes it as "partial 23S ribosomal RNA". It matches the Rfam family "Bacterial large subunit ribosomal RNA", at positions 418 to 2710 of the family's 2925-position model. Lineage: Bacteria; Pseudomonadati; Pseudomonadota; Gammaproteobacteria; Enterobacterales; Enterobacteriaceae. The record is from RNAcentral.
CGGGACACGUGGUAUCCUGUCUGAAUAUGGGGGGACCAUCCUCCAAGGCUAAAUACUCCUGACUGACCGAUAGUGAACCAGUACCGUGAGGGAAAGGCGAAAAGAACCCCGGCGAGGGGAGUGAAAAAGAACCUGAAACCGUGUACGUACAAGCAGUGGGAGCACGCUUAGGCGUGUGACUGCGUACCUUUUGUAUAAUGGGUCAGCGACUUAUAUUCUGUAGCAAGGUUAACCGAAUAGGGGAGCCGAAGGGAAACCGAGUCUUAACUGGGCGUUAAGUUGCAGGGUAUAGACCCGAAACCCGGUGAUCUAGCCAUGGGCAGGUUGAAGGUUGGGUAACACUAACUGGAGGACCGAACCGACUAAUGUUGAAAAAUUAGCGGAUGACUUGUGGCUGGGGGUGAAAGGCCAAUCAAACCGGGAGAUAGCUGGUUCUCCCCGAAAGCUAUUUAGGUAGCGCCUCGUGAAUUCAUCUCCGGGGGUAGAGCACUGUUUCGGCAAGGGGGUCAUCCCGACUUACCAACCCGAUGCAAACUGCGAAUACCGGAGAAUGUUAUCACGGGAGACACACGGCGGGUGCUAACGUCCGUCGUGAAGAGGGAAACAACCCAGACCGCCAGCUAAGGUCCCAAAGUCAUGGUUAAGUGGGAAACGAUGUGGGAAGGCCCAGACAGCCAGGAUGUUGGCUUAGAAGCAGCCAUCAUUUAAAGAAAGCGUAAUAGCUCACUGGUCGAGUCGGCCUGCGCGGAAGAUGUAACGGGGCUAAACCAUGCACCGAAGCUGCGGCAGCGACGCUGAUGCGUUGUUGGGUAGGGGAGCGUUCUGUAAGCCUGUGAAGGUGUGCUGUGAGGCAUGCUGGAGGUAUCAGAAGUGCGAAUGCUGACAUAAGUAACGAUAAAGCGGGUGAAAAGCCCGCUCGCCGGAAGACCAAGGGUUCCUGUCCAACGUUAAUCGGGGCAGGGUGAGUCGACCCCUAAGGCGAGGCCGAAAGGCGUAGUCGAUGGGAAACAGGUUAAUAUUCCUGUACUUGGUGUUACUGCGAAGGGGGGACGGAGAAGGCUAUGUUGGCCGGGCGACGGUUGUCCCGGUUUAAGCGUGUAGGCUGGUUUUCCAGGCAAAUCCGGAAAAUCAAGGCUGAGGCGUGAUGACGAGGCACUACGGUGCUGAAGCAACAAAUGCCCUGCUUCCAGGAAAAGCCUCUAAGCAUCAGGUAACAUCAAAUCGUACCCCAAACCGACACAGGUGGUCAGGUAGAGAAUACCAAGGCGCUUGAGAGAACUCGGGUGAAGGAACUAGGCAAAAUGGUGCCGUAACUUCGGGAGAAGGCACGCUGAUAUGUAGGUGAAGCGACUUGCUCGUGGAGCUGAAAUCAGUCGAAGAUACCAGCUGGCUGCAACUGUUUAUUAAAAACACAGCACUGUGCAAACACGAAAGUGGACGUAUACGGUGUGACGCCUGCCCGGUGCCGGAAGGUUAAUUGAUGGGGUCAGCGCAAGCGAAGCUCUUGAUCGAAGCCCCGGUAAACGGCGGCCGUAACUAUAACGGUCCUAAGGUAGCGAAAUUCCUUGUCGGGUAAGUUCCGACCUGCACGAAUGGCGUAAUGAUGGCCAGGCUGUCUCCACCCGAGACUCAGUGAAAUUGAACUCGCUGUGAAGAUGCAGUGUACCCGCGGCAAGACGGAAAGACCCCGUGAACCUUUACUAUAGCUUGACACUGAACAUUGAGCCUUGAUGUGUAGGAUAGGUGGGAGGCUUUGAAGUGUGGACGCCAGUCUGCAUGGAGCCGGCCUUGAAAUACCACCCUUUAAUGUUUGAUGUUCUAACGUUGACCCGUGAUCCGGGUUGCGGACAGUGUCUGGUGGGUAGUUUGACUGGGGCGGUCUCCUCCUAAAGAGUAACGGAGGAGCACGAAGGUUGGCUAAUCCUGGUCGGACAUCAGGAGGUUAGUGCAAUGGCAUAAGCCAGCUUGACUGCGAGCGUGACGGCGCGAGCAGGUGCGAAAGCAGGUCAUAGUGAUCCGGUGGUUCUGAAUGGAAGGGCCAUCGCUCAACGGAUAAAAGGUACUCCGGGGAUAACAGGCUGAUACCGCCCAAGAGUUCAUAUCGACGGCGGUGUUUGGCACCUCGAUGUCGGCUCAUCACAUCCUGGGGCUGAAGUAGGUCCCAAGGGUAUGGCUGUUCGCCAUUUAAAGUGGUACGCGAGCUGGGUUUAGAACGUCGUGAGACAGUUCGGUCCCUAUCUGCCGUGGGCGCUGGAGAACUGAGGGGGGCUGCUCCUAGUACGAGAGGACCGGAGUGGACGCAUCACU